UACGUAGGGGGCAAGCGUUGUCCGGAAUUAUUGGGCGUAAAGAGCUCGUAGGCGGUCUGUUGCGUCGGCUGUGAAAACCCGGGGCUCAACCCCGGGCCUGCAGCCGAUACGGGCAGACUAGAGUUCGGCAGGGGAGACUGGAAUUCCUGGUGUAGCGGUGAAAUGCGCAGAUAUCAGGAGGAACACCGGUGGCGAAGGCGGGUCUCUGGGCAGUAACUGACGCUGAGGAGCGAAAGCGUGGGGAGCGAACAGG
This 253-nucleotide ribosomal RNA is filed under the name uncultured bacterium. Its description in RNAcentral is "partial 16S ribosomal RNA". It matches the Rfam family "Bacterial small subunit ribosomal RNA", at positions 524 to 776 of the family's 1533-position model. The record is from RNAcentral.